RNAcentral lists this long non-coding RNA (269 nucleotides) under Elaeis guineensis (African oil palm). Its description in RNAcentral is "long non-coding RNA (EGUI_LNC023519)". Lineage: Eukaryota; Viridiplantae; Streptophyta; Magnoliopsida; Arecales; Arecaceae. The record is from RNAcentral.
UUGACACAACCGAUCUCCUCCUCUGGCACCAAGAAAGUUGAUGUCUUGACCUUGAAAAAUUAUGCAAACACCUUAUGCCACUAGCAUCAACAACUAAAAAGAUUUCUUAGAUAUGGAGAAUUAGUAUUCAUCGAUUGAACUGUUUAUAUGGAAGAUACCUUGAAAUUGAUUUCUAUAUUAUAAAAUUCUACAUUCAGCUUUCAUAUUCCUAACCAUUAUAUAUGAUCUAUUUUCUUAUAGAGAUUCCUUCUCAUAUUAUAUUACACCAU